Molecule: ribosomal RNA, 468 nt
Filed under: uncultured bacterium
Lineage: Bacteria
Description: partial 16S ribosomal RNA
Rfam family: Bacterial small subunit ribosomal RNA
Source: RNAcentral
GACGAACGCUGGCGGCGUGCUUAACACAUGCAAGUCGAACGGAAAGGCCCUGCUUUUGUGGGGUGCUCGAGUGGCGAACGGGUGAGUAACACGUGAGUAACCUGCCCUUGACUUUGGGAUAACUUCAGGAAACUGGGGCUAAUACCGGAUAGGAGCUCCUGCUGCAUGGUGGGGGUUGGAAAGUUUCGGCGGUUGGGGAUGGACUCGCGGCUUAUCAGCUUGUUGGUGGGGUAGUGGCUUACCAAGGCUUUGACGGGUAGCCGGCCUGAGAGGGUGACCGGCCACAUUGGGACUGAGAGACGGCCCAGACUGCUACGGGAGGCAGCAGUGGGGAGUAUUGCGCAAUGGGCGGAAGCCUGAUGCAGCAACGCCGCGUGCGGGAUGACGGCCUUCGAGGUGUGAACCGCUUUCGCCGGUGACGAAGCGUGAGUGACGGUAAUGGGUAAAGAAGCACCGGCUAACUACGUG